UACGUAGGGGGCAAGCGUUACCCGGAUUUACUGGGUGUAAAGGGAGCGUAGACGGUAAUGUAAGUCUGAUGUGAAAGCCCGGGGCUCAACCCCGGGACUGCAUUGGAAACUAUGUAACUAGAGUACCGGAGAGGUAAGCGGAAUUCCUAGUGUAGCGGUGAAAUGCGUAGAUAUUAGGAGGAACACCAGUGGCGAAGGCGGCUUACUGGACGGAAACUGACGUUGAGGCUCGAAAGCGUGGGGAGCAAACAGG
This 253-nucleotide ribosomal RNA is filed under the name uncultured bacterium. Its description in RNAcentral is "partial 16S ribosomal RNA". It matches the Rfam family "Bacterial small subunit ribosomal RNA", at positions 524 to 776 of the family's 1533-position model. The record is from RNAcentral.